Molecule: long non-coding RNA, 1258 nt
Organism: Mangifera indica (mango)
Lineage: Eukaryota; Viridiplantae; Streptophyta; Magnoliopsida; Sapindales; Anacardiaceae
Exons: 3
Source: RefSeq, a predicted model, not a curated record
UGGCUAUUGUAAUUUUUAAUCGCAAUUAAUGGAAUAUGAGUCUCAUGCAUGUUCUUAUCGAAUGACAAACAGGAGAAGGGAUGGCUAAUAAGUAAUUGUAUAUGCCUCGGUAUAGAGAUAGGAACUGGUUUAGAGCUGUUGAUUCUUGAAUAGUUAAACAAGGCAAGUUGCAUUGGCUGUUUGUUAAUCACAGGGAGAAAGUCUCAAGUUAGUGUCAAGAGCAGAACAGGAAGAGGAGAACAUAGUCAAAGAAAAUGGGUGAAGUUCAAAGAGUGAAACUGGGAAGUCAAGGAUCUGAGGUAAGAUUUAUUGUCCAUCAGGGCAAAAUUGAGUGGUCGUUCUGGACUCGUGACAUUGAGGAAGAAAUCAUCCCACUUUGCAGGUUCUUUAUAUCUGAGAAACCAAAUUUCUUACCAAAAUUAAAUGCUUACUCUACAUGUAUGUUUCAAUUCUAAGUUUUACUCAAAGUUUACUAGUAAACUGAAUACCAUUGUCCAACAUUUUAAUUCUGCUUAAUUGAUUUCACUUGCUUUACUAUUGUAUGUUAACCAAUUGCCUUCCAGUAUCUGCAAGCUUUUCCUGUAAAUCAUGGAGGGCUGCACUGUGUCUUUUUCUGUUUCUAGUAAAUUCUGUAACUACCACUUAGUUAUAGUCAUCGUUUGAAUAUGGUCAAUGUAACAGGAAACUUGACAUUGGGAUAGUCCCAUAUAGUCCUCUUGGUCAAGGUCUUUUUGCCGGCAAGAAAGUUGUGGAAAGUGUUUCUGCACAAAGUUUUCUGGAAUCCACCAAAGAUUUCAGGGAGAGAACUUUGACAAAAACAAGAUCUUCCAUUUCCGUUUGGAAAAGUUAGCUGAAAAGCAUGGAUGCACCCCUGCACAACUUGCACUUUCUUGGGUACUUCACCAAGGAGAUGAUGAACAACUAAGAUUAAGAAUGUUGACAAUAAUAUUGGUUCUCUAAUAAGUUGACAAAUGAAGAUUUAGAAGAGAUUUCUGCUGCUGUGCCCAUUAAUAAGGUGUCGGGGAGUAGAUUUACAAAUGAUAACUUUCUUCAUGCCUCCCGGAAAUUUGGUAGCUGAUAGGUACCUGGAGGAUGCAGGAGCUGGUUCGGCCAGGUUACCUCGCCUCGACAGCCAGAAAUCGAAAGAGUUGGCAAAUCACAGAUGAAGUUCGUAGGGAUAUUUGUGUUGUUGGCAAUUUAUUAAUGUAUAUUGCGACGACAAUGAAACAGCAAACUCUUUGUAUAAAUUAUAUUAUAG